RNAcentral lists this ribosomal RNA (427 nucleotides) under uncultured bacterium. RNAcentral describes it as "bacterial SSU rRNA". It matches the Rfam family "Bacterial small subunit ribosomal RNA", at positions 355 to 796 of the family's 1533-position model. The record is from RNAcentral.
UGGGGAAUUUUACGCAAUGGGGGAAACCCUGACGUAGCGACACCGCGUGAGCGAAGAAGCCCUUUGGGGUGUAAAGCUCUGUCAGCAGGAACGAAUAAAUUGACGGUACCUGCAGAGGAAGCAUCGGCUAACUACGUGCCAGCAGCCGCGGUAAGACGUAGGAUGCAAGCGUUGUCCGGAUUUAUUGGGCGUAAAGAGUUCGUAGGCGGUUUGUUAAGUCUGGUGUUAAAGGCGCGGGCCCAACCCGUGUAAUGCCCUGGAUACUGGCAGACUCGAGUAUGGUAGAGGCGAGUGGAAUUCCCAGUGUAGCGGUGAAAUGCGUAGAUAUUGGGAAGAACACCGGUGGCGUAAGCGACUCGCUGGGCCAUUACUGACGCUGAGGAACGAAAGCUAGGGGAGCGAAUGGGAUUAGAUACCCGCGUAGUCC